AACGGCCGUACCAUGCUGAAUAUACCGGUUCUCGUUAGAUCACCGAAGUUAAGCAUCAUUGGGCGCGGUCAGUACUUGGGUGGGUGACCACCUGGGAACACUGUGUGCCGUU
Molecule: ribosomal RNA, 112 nt
Filed under: Caerostris darwini
Lineage: Eukaryota; Metazoa; Arthropoda; Arachnida; Araneae; Araneidae
Source: RNAcentral